UUUCUCUGACUAGCUUCCCCGGACACAGGCUGGCCACGUGUUAUGCCUUCAGUACCUGUGCACCAUCCAGGCAGAAGUCACCCUCAUGAAAAGAGAAUUUGCUUUUUUAAAAAAUGUGCUACUGACCUGGUGGGCACGAGAAAAUUACUGCCAAACUGCAACAAGAUAUUGGUUGAGCUUGGCUUUGAAUAUCAACAGCAAAGCCUAGAAAAUCAACCACAGAGGAUUGGCCUUGGAUUGCAAGAGAGAAGGAGUGAUAUCAACUGCCUCCUUGACCCAGUGACGGGAUGGAAUGUGCCGGCUGAGGGAGGGGUCAGUGGGCGGAGGGUGGCAUCUUGAGGGUUGGGGCAAAGAUUAGCUGGAACAGUUGACUUAGAGAGACAGGAGAGGAUGGGGGAACCUGGUGGAGGCCAGCUGUGCCAAGAGUGUGGUGAGCCUGAGCAGGGCCGCUUGCUGGCAUCGUAAGAGGAGCUCCCUGCCACCAGGUAAAUUCGCCUUGCGGCCACCAGGUGGCAGCCGGAGAUGGGAGCUCGAGGGCUGACAAAGGGGCCUGGCCCGGAGGCCACAGCUGAGCAAAAUGGCAGAUAGUCCAGAAGGCGCAUGGUAUGCAAAUCUGGGUCGCCUUAUUAACUUUCCUUUCCAAUUUUUAAAUAUAAAAAUAUAUGUCUUCAUUAAAAUAAGUAAACGAGCUCGACAUAAAGAAGAUAUAUUUAAAUACUGUGUAUGUUAUUUAUUUUUAAAUAAUCAAUUAUAUGCUGAUUUUCUAAAAGUCUUCAAAAGAUGUGCCAGGGUUAUUCAUUGGCUUUGUUUUCACUCUCAAAAAUUCAAAUAAAAAGAGAAAUAAAAAAUGAUGAGGAGCUGCUUUGUCAUCUUACAAAUGUCCUGGGCAGGAAUUCUGUACUAAAUGCCGUGGCCAGCAGCCAGUAGAGAAGGCAUCUUCCUCUCCCCACUCCUCAGUGGCGUGGUUCUGGUGGCUCAGACUCUUCAGUUUGUCCCAACUCCAUCACCUGCCUUCUGUCUUUCCCACCAUUUUUGUGGUUCUGGCCCCAUGCCUCCUGUCUUCAUUCUCUCUCUGAAAUCUCUCCUCUGCACCAAUGUUGCGGUGACCUGCUUCACCCAGAGAUUGUACCUUCCCAUUUCUCCCCCAUGCACCUCUAAACAGUCCCACUUUCACUCGGGAUCCAGUCCCCACUUCUCUCUCUCUUUUGUGUGUGUGUAUGUGUGUGUGUGUGAUGUAGUUUCAUUCUUGUUGCCUCAGCUGGAGUGCAAUGGUGUGAUCUUGGCUCACCACAACCUCCACCUCCCGGGUUCAGGCAAUUCUCCUGCCUCAGUCUCCUGAGUAGCUGGGAUUACAGGCAUGCACCACCAUGCCUGGCUAAUUUUUGUAUUUUUAGUAAAGAUGGGGUUUCUCCAUAUUGGUCAGGCUGGUCUUGAACUCCUGAUAUCAGGUGAUCCGCCUGCCUCAGCCUCCCAAAGUGCUGAGAUUAUAGGCGUGAGCCACAGCUCCUGGCCUACAGUCCCCACUUCUCAACAGUGCAGAUGUCCCUGUUUGCCAGUUAACCCCAAUUUUCCUUUCUGGGGUCAUCUUCCAGCAGACUCUCCCCAAAUGACGUUCCACUGAAAAAGAGUCUUUCCUCAACCAAACUCCAGUCAGGCUCCUCUGGGCUUUCUUUUCAACCCUGGCCAGUGAGGGCUCCAGACUCAGCACAUAUGACUCUCCUCACCUCCCCACACCGAGAGACUUGAGCGAACAUGGACAGAGUUUCCAGCAGCUCAAGGUCUCGCCUCUACCACACAGACCUCAGUCUCCUUUAAGUUCCUGCCUAAGAAAGCUCGAUGCUGCCAGGAGAAUGUACUGUUUGUUCUGGCCAAAACUUGGUGCUGGACCAAAGGGACCCUGGACUUGCUUUCAGAGCAGUUACUAUAGAAACCUGGAAUUGCAAAUCAUUUGGCUGUGCUGCGAGAUAGACAUCUUCUAUUACCCAGAACUGUCUCCUCGAGAACCCAGGAGCCGUCUAUUUAAAUAUAAACUCCAAGCCACAGUGGCCGCACAGAUCUGCUGAUGCCUCUGUGGACCUGCUGUAAAGUGACUGCCUCCUGCCUCCUGUCAUAAAGAAAUGAGAAAUUUGUUUCUGCUCCCAACGAGUGGCAGGAGCCAGUUAACAAACGCACAUGGUGCGCUCGCGCGUGUGAUCCCACUUUCCUGCGUUUUGUGAAUUUCCACUUCCCUGACUCUGCCCAAGCCCCUCCAUAUUCCUCCUCCUGCCUCCCUUUUAACCCCGCGUCCCCUCUGCACGCCUUGCCGGUGGGCUCAGUUCAUGCAGGGCGCUCUUGCCUACGGCGAUAGGCUGAGUGCAGUGUGUUUUCACUGCUUUUAACUAGCACAGGCUCCGUUUCUCGCUGACGCUGCGCAUACCACUUUCCUGUGGAUUUCCGGACGCUCCAGGGUCUUUCCGUUGCUUCUGCAGCUUUGCCUGAAACGUCCCAGCCCCACCCUCCACACCUUUUCUUCAGUGGCCGCACGGAUUUGCUGAUGCCUUUGUGGACACCGAGACAUGAGCCUCUCACACUGUGGUGCCUAAUUCCAUUUUAGCACAGGAGGAGGCUGAAUGUGUGCUGGCGUGAAUAAACCCGUGACGAGUGAAAGAAGUGAGACCGGGUCAUAUGUUAUGUUCGGAAAUGAUGGAGAGGCUGGCUUCUGCCUCUGAGCAGGAGCUCCCUGGCUACAGCCCCACCAUGGAAUGCGACUGGCAGGCUGUCUUGAAAUGUGAGUAGUUUAACGGGUUAUCCUGGGAGCUAUUUCACCUCUUUCUGGUGGGGUAGGACAUCUUUGCCCUCCACUUCCUUCCUCUCCCCUUCCUUCCUCUCUCCCUUCUUCCUUCCUUCCUUCCUCUUUUCCUUCUUUCCCUCUUUUCUUGCCCCCGACGUCUCUUCCAUUUAUUGUAAAUUAUUUAUUUAUCUUUCAGAGCACCUACAUCUGUCUACCUCUGACAGGCACUUGGCUUUCUAUCUGUCAUCUAUCAAUUUAGCAACAAUCAUUUCAGAGAUGCAAAAACUGGGUGCAGGGGCAGGGGGGUCCCUGAUGACUCUCAUACAGUUCAGAACCGAACGAUCCAGGCGUCAAGCCCUAACUGGUUGGGCACCAAGGCCUAAAACCCAUGUUCCCUACCACGUGCUGCUGGGAUCCAGGCCACCAGGCUAGGACUGCCCACCCUGGACAGUCUGUGCACAGGGAGAGAGAUGGGGAUGCUCGUGCCACUGUGGCAGAUCCUACUCUGAACGUGAUGGUGUCUGAUUGCUGUUUCUCCUGUUUCAUCACUCUUGACUCAGUGAUCCAGUGACUAUGUGAGACAGCUGGGAAGAAAGAAGGAUAAACAGGGCAGCAGGUGUCCGGUUCCUCCUUACUGAGCUCCUGCCUAUCUGGGCAUGCUCAGACAGGGUGUCCACCUAUGAAUAAGCCACUUCGGCAAACUGGAUGAGAAAAUCAAGAUUCCACUUUGUUCCCGCAGGGAUCAUGUGUGUUGGGAGGCUGCUCAUGCAUGACCUGGGCUCUGUCCCAGGUGAACAUAUCCACAACAUGCAUGCUGUUAUGCUCGGCAUUCAGACGUGGAAGCAGAAGUCGGUGAGGUUCAGUAAUGCGUCCAACAUUGCAAGUCCUACAAGCUCCGUCUGGCUCCACAGCCUCUGGGGUCGCUGUGCUCUGCGGUCCUAAAAUCAGCAGGCGUCCAGGACGCUCCCCUUCCCGGGACAGGAGCUGCAUCCCUGCCUUUACCUUCACCCAGGUCUCCACCCUGGAAUGCCUGACUCGCCUUUUCAUAUUCAUAACGGCUACAACGUAUGGGUUAUGAUGUGCCACAUACUUAUGUCUGUCAUAGAAACCCUGAAACUAUGUAGAUCUUACUUAAUCUCCACAGGAAUACUGAGAGGGUGGUGAUCUAUCCCGUGUGUGUGUGUGUGUGUGUGUGUGUGUGUGUGUGUGUGUGUGAAAAAGUAGGUUCAGAGAGUUUAAAUUCUUGGCUGAAGCCAGCUGGUGGUAGCUGUCAGCAGAGCUGGGCUCCAGUGCAAACUCUCCUGACUCCAAAAGCCGCUUCCUUCCUCCUCCCCUUCCUUCCUCUCUCCCUUCUUCCUUCCUUCCUCUUUUCUUUCUCUCUUUUCUUGCCCCCGACGUCUCUUCCAUUUAUUGUAAGUUGUUUAUUUCUCUUUCAGAGCACCUACAUCUGUGUACCUCUGGUGAAAACGCCGCGUGGUGGCAUUCUCUCUCCUCUGCUCAUUACAACUCCACUGUUCAGCUAAAGGCGUCUCUGGUCAUCCCGAGAGGUGGUGCCGGCCGCUACUCCUGAAGAAAUCCACUGGACUCGAAGCCACAUGAAGAAGUAUUAGGCCACUUUUUGUGUUUCUGAUACUCUCUAGGGGCCAUGCCUGGAUCUUCAUCAUAAACACCCAGUAAAAAUGGAGUUGAUUAACAAAGACAUUGAGUAUAUGAUGUAAUACAGCUGAGCUGUAAUGAUACUCAGCAUGUGGGCUGAUGUAGAGAAGACAUCACCAGACCCACCUCAGCUGUCACCCAGUGACUUUGGGGGCCACAACUAGAGGUUGGGUUACUGUUUUCAAAGCCUGUCGUCUCUGCUCAAGACUAUAAUUCCUUUAAGGAUUUUUCCUAAAUGAAGCUAUUCUUUCUUCAAGAGCUAGGCAUACACCAGUGCAUGCACACACACCCACACACCCCUCCAGUUGCUGCAUACAGUGUAAAUGUUAGGAUAAAGAGAAGUGCCACUUGCCAUGUAGAACGUGAACAUCCUAUUUCUGGAAGGGCUGUCCCAGAAGCUGAGGUAGCAGAGGAUGUAGAUGGCUCCCACGAGCAGGUUGAACAGCCUCCAGUGGCAGGUGCUGUCGAUGACGUCACUCUGCUGGGCGACGAGCCAGAAUGUCAUCACCAGCCAGUGGGCACCUGCACAGAGGCCGGGUGCGGAUGUCACGAUCCACGCAGGGAGAUGGGGGAGGGGCAAGGGCACAGAUAGCAGGGACUGGAAGCCCUCCUCUCCCACCACAUUUGACUCAGCAUCCAGGAAGGGGCAAGGGCACAGAUAGCAGGGACUGGAAGCCCUCCUCUCCCACCACAUUUGACUCAGCAUCCAGGAAGGGGCAAGGGCACAGAUAGCAGGGACUGGAAGCCCUCCUCUCCCACCACAUUUGACUCAGCAUCCAGGAAGGGGCAAGGGCACAGAUAGCAGGGACUGGAAGCCCUCCUCUCCCACCACAUUUGACUCAGCAUCCAGGAAGAGCCAUCAGAAGACCCAGAAGAGAUGUGAGGGGCACAGAAAACCAGCACAGUUUAGCUGUGCAUAUAUUCUCCUGUUGUAUCCACGUAAAGUGCAUCUGAUCUAAUUUGAAGAUGAGAAAACAGACUAGCUUCAAUAACACUUGCCAAAUAUUGUAUACGUGUGCCUGUUUUGUUCCAGAAUGUGUUUAAGGGGGCAAUUAUAAAACUGCCAAUUAUUUUUAAAUUGUUACGAGAGCUAGAAACCUCCAAACCCAAAGCGGAGAACUCUCAGGUGCAGCUGCAACUUUUUAUUCCCAUGUUUUAAGAUGAAUAAAGCAUUCUGGAUUUCAAGCUGAGUUUUUAAAAAAAAGAAUAACAAAAUAGGUAAUCUCUCUUCGGGAGCACAGUUUGUUUUUUUUUCUUUUUCAAAAAAAAAUUCUUUCCUGCCAAUAACUGUAUUUAAUGUUUGCUCCAGGCCCAAGGGCCAAAUAGUUCUUAAUGUGUCCAAUUCUUUUCAAACAAGAGUGCCCUGUUCCUUCUUGUAUAUUCACUGAUGACCAGAGAUGACAGCUCCCCUUGGCAGGGACACACAGGCCCUAUUCAGGGAGUCUCCAUAGCCAGAGAGACUCUGUCAUUGCCAUUCAGAUUGUGUGUGCCUAGACUGAGGGAGGAGGGAGCGCUUGGGUUUAGUGGGGCUGUGCUAUUUGCAACAGAGGAGAUGUUCGAGAUUCAGCAUUCCAAGGGAAUGGUGCAUUUUGGGAGGCUAUUUGCAGUAUCACAUAUACACUGCAUGUUUUGGGAUCAGUAUCACAUAUAUACUGAUCAAGUGAGGCAGGUGGCACCCUGUACCUCCCUUCUGUUUGGGUGACAGUUUUUCUAUAUAAAAUAUUUCAGCCUAUAACACAGAACAGUCUCUUGAGUAGUUCUCUGCUCCAGAGUUAGCUGGGAGUUUUGAGGGCUGGGAUGUCUGAGCUAUGGCAGGGUAUUUCCCAAGACAGCCAGGAUGCGUUCUUUCCUGCUCUGGAUAUGUAUUUAUCUGGAGCAGCAGUCUAGUCCCCCAUGCUCUUGAAUCUGGGCUGGCUCUGCUUGGUUUGACCAACAGAAUACAGCGGAAGCAGUGCCGAGCCAGUUCUAAGCCUGUUUUUACAGAAGACUGGCGGUUUCCAGUUCCUCUCCACUGGAAUUCUCAGCUGCUAAUUCCCAUCAAGGCUCCCUAUGAAUCUGAACACCUGGUACCCCAUUGCCAUCUCUGAGGCCCCCCGAGCAAGGUCCAUUCAGCAGAGAGCCCAGUCCGCCCUCAGGCCUGGGAUUGAGGAUCCUAACUGGUUAUUCUUGAGGCAUUCCUUUCCAGGUUGGUGUGUUACGCAGCAGCAGAUGACGAGAUCAUUAGCUCAGCUCACCUGCAACCGCAAAAACCCAAACGUGGUAGGCUUUGUAGAACAGAACCAGGCUCAGCACGCGUGUUCCCAGCAUGCCCAUCCUCCAGAGCUGCUGGCAGAAGAGGGCGGCCCAUGGCAUGGCCGGGUGGCCUGGCUUCAUGAAGCCCAUGAAAUGAGUGUAGGACACCAGUGCCCAGGAGAGUGAGGACCAGGAGAACAGCGCACUCACCCCUGCAAGGGAAGCAGAAAGACAUGGUAUGCUCUGAAGGUUCAGAAAGCAUCGCACCAUGUGAAGACUCACUCAUGGCAUUUCUUUAAUGGGACAUGUAGCCUCUUGUUAAAGCCUGGCCGCACAGAGGGUAUCACUAACCCAGCACCUUGACCAAUAGGUAACAUAACUGUUUCCAAAUACACGUGUUUAUAUUCAGGAAGAAACGGGGAUAUGUAGGAAGUAUUUGCACUGCACAGUGUAGCAAAUGCUCUUCCCAGCAAAUGAGCUGGACUCUUUCUUUCUAUGCCCGUUAAGAAAAAACGUUCCAAAUCCUGAUCUUCUGAGGCCUCUGUAUAUAACAAAGCUGAUCCUACAGGGCUCUGCACAUGAUUCCACCCCAAAUGUACUUUGCUGUUCGAAUGAAAACAUCGAAGGGUGUCAGGCCAUUUGAUAAAGAUGGCUAGAAGAACAGCACUGUCAUCUAUGUCAAGUAUUUAAUUUAUGCAUAUACAAUUGUGGACACUUGGCAAACAGGAAGGGAGAGACGAAGAUACGGAAGCGGGGAGGUUGGGAGGGGAGGAAGGGGAGGGAAGAGAAGGGGAUGGCAGGAGGGAGCGGGGAGAGAAAAAAGAGGCAACUGAGAGAACAGGCAGAGAAUGUGAAUGUCCUGAAAUAGUGGGAGCUGGAAACAAACGUUGCUGGGGCCUGAGUUGUUCUGUUUCCGCAUGCUCUGAGGGUGUAAGCUUCUGGCUUUGUUAAGAAUUACUUUUUUUUUUUUUGAGACAGGGCCUCAUUCUCUGUCACCUGCACUGGAGUACAGUGGUGCAAUCACACCUCACUGCAGCCUCAAACUCCUGGCCUCAAGUGAUGCUCCCACCUCAGCCUCUUGAAUAGCUGAGGCUACAACUGCAUGCCACCAUGCCUGGCUAACUUUUGUAUUUCUUUGUAGAGAUGGGUUUUCACUAUGCUGGUCUUGAGCUCCUGGGCUCAAGCAGUCCAUCCACCUCGGCUUCCCCAAGUGCUGGGACUGCAGGUGUGAGGCAUUGUGUCCUGCCAAGAAUAACUCUAAUGAUUAAAAAUACAAGAAAAACCUGUGCGCUGAGUUUACUGAGAGGCAGCCUUUCCAAGGUAUUUUCAGGAUAAUUUUGAUUAUGGGCAAUUUCUAUCUUAUGAACUGACUUUCGAACAUAACCCUUAGGAAAGAAGGAAGCCAACUCUCUGUAAGCCCAGUGCAGCAGCAAAAGCCAAUUUGAUGCAUCAUUGUGGGCCAGUGAGCUCCAGGUGUCCUGGUUCUCCUAAGCAGAGGAAAUCUCGAGGGGAGGGUUUUGCUCAACAGGCUCGCGUUCCCCUCCCCCUUAGGCAGUCAGGCAGUCUGUGCUCCAUGGUGAAAGCUGCUCACCUGGCACAAUAUCUGUGAAGUCUGAGGCUAGAAACACGUAUGUCUGAAGCAGCAGGUGGGGCCCGGUCUGCAGCAAGGCCUCCAAGAGUCGAAGGGCCGACAGGUCGGCCUCCUGCAGCUGCAGCUGGCCUCGAUGGGGAGCCUCCUGUUCCUUCUGCAGAGCAGUCAGUGCAGCAUCCCAGUGCCUAGGGAACAGCGGAGGGCACAUGACAUGGAGCCAGACUGUGGCGAGCUUCAAUGGGACCUCCUUUCAUUCAGAGACAUACAACAGCCUAAGCAAUAUCCUAUGCCCUUACUAGUUCCCAAGAGCUACAAGUUAGGCUGCUGCCAGGCUCUGACUGCAAGCAGAAGACGUCAGUUCUAUCUCCUUGAAUCCAGGUUCUCAACGUAGGAAGAAUGAGCCCUCACCUGCCGAGAUGGGCUGUGGAUCACGGAUAAGCCCACUGCGCCCCAGAACCACCCCUGGCUACUUCUCUACAGAAAAAAACUGCCCCUGGCGUCCAAAUGACUUUUUCCUGGUAUGAGUCUUGAAGCCAAUGUCGCCAGGCUGGCUUCACUGUCUAGCCUGUGGUUCACUGAAGCUAUGCCACCUUCCUGUUUGAAGGUGAUAGUGUGUAGGUCGAAGUGCCUUAAGCAACUUGCUUUACAUAGAGCUAAAGUCUCAACCAACAAAACAGCGAGACAGGACUUCAACUGAAGGCAAGAGAAAGCUUUUCGUAAGGUCCCAGCUGCACAGAGAAAGCCCCUGAGGUUGAAGAUGCUCAACAGUGUGUAGGCCGGACCUGGGGUGCUACUAUCAGAGCAGGGGUUUGACACGGCGGCUUUGAACCUCUUCCCAAUGCUGAACUUUGAUGACCUUGAGGACAGAAUCCACAGGGACAGAAGAAUCCUUCUACUGCACUUGUGCAAUUGUGCACCAGAGGAAGAGGCAGCUGUUCUUACCGCUU
Callithrix jacchus (white-tufted-ear marmoset) is the source of this 9196-nucleotide non-coding RNA. Lineage: Eukaryota; Metazoa; Chordata; Mammalia; Primates; Cebidae. The record is from RefSeq and is a predicted model, not a curated record.